GGGCCCAAGAGAGGACCCCAAGUGGGCACAGGCCUCCUGGUGAAAUGCCACCCAAGUUUCAAGCUAUGAGAACACAUUCUGUAACCUUAUUUGGUGACUGGGUUUGUGGCUUUUGCAGUAACACCUGGCUUUCCUGUCGCAGAUUAUGAUUAGCCGCGAGGACGGGGAAGGAGCAUCCAGGGAGGUUGUCCGUCUGCCUUUCUGCAGGCAUCUGCAUCCUGCCCCGAGGACUUCAAACAUGCUCAGCAGUCUGUCACUAAGAAACAGACCCAAGGCCCCUCUCCACCUUCUUCUCUUCACAGCCCUGGAGAGGCUGCUGCUCUGAGUCUUUUUCCAGCUCCUCGUUACCUCUCCACCCUCCAUGAGGCACCACUGCCUCGUGGGAGAGACGGGUACAGCACGAAGAGCUCGUACAGCUGCUCUAUGUCCGCUGUGCAUGGAUACAGCCGCGUGAAAUCACACUUAGGACGCCACCAAGGGCCCCCCCAGCCUGGUACCCCUUGCACGGAUUGGUCAGGUAGCGAGUUGUGCCUUGGAAGGAAGGAAGCCUCUAUCUGGGGCUCUAGCCUCUGCACUCCGGAAUACCAAGGAUGCUGGCAGGCUGCCAGGGGCUUCCAACCUAUCGUCCAUCCAGGAUGAAGUUGGAGAUGGAGGCCGCA
RNAcentral lists this long non-coding RNA (659 nucleotides) under Suricata suricatta (meerkat). RNAcentral's name for it is "lncRNA (ENSSSUG00005019054.1)". The record is from RNAcentral. Lineage: Eukaryota; Metazoa; Chordata; Mammalia; Carnivora; Herpestidae.